RNAcentral lists this unclassified non-coding RNA (1075 nucleotides) under Hevea brasiliensis (rubber tree). Lineage: Eukaryota; Viridiplantae; Streptophyta; Magnoliopsida; Malpighiales; Euphorbiaceae. The record is from RNAcentral.
UAAAAAUAAAUAAUAUUACACUUAAAAAAUAAAAUGAAAAAUUAGUUUAGUGGUACCUAAAGUAAAUAGCAAAAAUGAAGGGUUUAAUGUGGAAUAAGUGGAAAUUCAACAUAUUAUAUGAUUUAAAGUAAGUAAGUGGACCACUAAGAAUCAUAAAAUGAAUUAAAAAUAAGCAUAAGUGGGCAGAUUGCUCCACUAAAAGAUCAUCUUCAACAUUGAAACCUCCAUUUGCCGUGAAUGAAAAACUCCCCAAAAUCCUCCAUGGCCAUUUUUCAAUCAAGCUCCAUGCACUCCUCCAUUUUCAACUCCAACCUCUUGGGUUCCUUCAUGAAACUUUGUCUACACAUCACAAGGAAGAUAUUGAUACCAAUUUUGAGAAGUUUGGUGAAGGUUUAGCAAGUUACAAUUAAAGGUAAGUUUGCAUUUUUGAGGAUUUUCUUGUUAAACUUUAUGUUUAUGUUAUGGGUGUUAGUUUUGUGAAGGAAAUUUUGAAGUUUAAAUAGUUAUUAAGAUAACCAAUUUUGGACAGCCAUGGGGUCACACAUUUGAUGAUUUAUUAUGCAUAUAAUUGAUGAGAAAUAAUAUUGAUCAUGGUAAAUUAAUAUCCUAAUGAAUUGUUUCACAUAUACAUGGUGAUUUUGGCACUUGGAUGAGAAUUGAUGGAUUGUAGGGCAAUGUGGUGUUGAAGGACAAAUUUCGGCAGCCUUGGGGACACUUGAAUAAAUGUGUAUAUUCAUGGGAGUGUUGGCAGAAUUGUGGCAUUAAGGAAUGAAGGAUAUGUGUAUGAAAUUAUUGUGUAAAGUGUAUGUGAGAAUUAGUGGUGUUUAGGUGUGUAUGUAAUGGUAUUGAGAUAUUGUAAAUGUGAAUUAUAUUUGGUGUGUUGAGGGUAAUGGUAAUCUGCCCAAAAUAAUGUUAAUGUAAAGUAGAUUAUACUGUGGUUAAUGUACCAAAACAGAUUGGUAGGGAAGUAAACAAAUUGCAAAGUAAAUGUGUGUAGUUGAUGUGUGUUAAGCAAAGUAAUCAAGGGCAGUGUACAUUUUAGCCUAUAACCUUAAAUGUGUAACCUCAAUUGGUA